GUGGGAGGUUUUGGGUUCUUGCAGAUCAGGAUUACGAAUCGGACGAUGAUCCUAUUGAGGAACCAUCGGAUACGCGUUCACCGGUUGAUCCGUCUCUGAUAUCUACAACAUCGUCGUUGGGGGUGUCGUUGGAGUGCAAGCUGCAGCAAGAUGUCCGACUGCCAAGGAAGAAGAAGGGGGCUUUCCGGCCGAAACCUUGGAUCGGGCCUUUACCUAAGGUUAGUAGACAUCCCAUUUCUUUGUCUGAUUUCUUCAAACCUGGCUGUUGGCCUGAGGAUGUUUUGAACAAGCAUCAGAUCAAACCACUGUCUUCAGGUCGUCGUUCGUCAGGAACGGCGACGAUGGCGCAGUCCAGGCGUGAUCAUAGGGAUAGUUUUUUGGCUGUCGUUAUGUCUGCGGAUGGGCCAGGUUUGGUUACCUCUUCGUUGGUUGACACAUAGGCUGGGUAUUCGGCCCAGCCUGGGGUGAGUCGGCCCGAAGGUGGGCUGCCUAUUUGUCAGGACGACUCUGGCCAGGACGCAUCUUCCUUUCGUAGGGUCGCUAGGGUUGGAUUCCCACGACAGAGUCUUGGCCGAGCGCCGUGGGUUGCUGCCUAUCGAUCGUCCGUCAUGGCCGGGAGAGGUGCGCCCCUUCAGCGAUCCUCGUCGGCCCAGGGUCCGCCGUCUGCUAGUCAGGGG
Molecule: long non-coding RNA, 677 nt
Filed under: Hordeum vulgare
Lineage: Eukaryota; Viridiplantae; Streptophyta; Magnoliopsida; Poales; Poaceae
Description: long non-coding RNA (HVUL_LNC016676)
Source: RNAcentral